AGAGCGAACGCUGGCGGCAGGCCUAAUACAUGCAAGUCGAACGAACCCUUCGGGGUUAGUGGCGGACGGGUGAGUAACACGUGGGAACGUGCCUUUUGGUUCGGAACAACUCAGGGAAACUUGAGCUAAUACCGAAUGUGCCCUUCGGGGGAAAGAUUUAUCGCCAUUAGAGCGGCCCGCGUCUGAUUAGCUAGUUGGUGGGGUAAAGGCCCACCAAGGCUACGAUCAGUAGCUGGUCUGAGAGGAUGAUCAGCCACACUGGGACUGAGACACGGCCCCAGACUCCUACGGGAGGCAGCAGUAGGGAAUCUUGCGCAAUGGGCGAAAGCCUGACGCAGCCAUGCCGCGUGAAUGAUGAAGGUCUUAGGAUUGUAAAAUUCUUUCAGCGGGGACGAUAAUGACGGUACCGCGAGAAGAACGCCCCGGCUAACUUCGUGCCAGCAGCCGC
RNAcentral lists this ribosomal RNA (448 nucleotides) under uncultured bacterium. RNAcentral's name for it is "SSU rRNA". It matches the Rfam family "Bacterial small subunit ribosomal RNA", at positions 26 to 518 of the family's 1533-position model. The record is from RNAcentral.